GACGAGCCUCACAAACGUUAUUCGGAAUUACUGGGCUUAAAGGGUGCGUAGGCGGCGCGGAAAGUUGGGUGUGAAAUCCCUCGGCUCAACCGAGGAACUGCGCCCAAAACUACCGUGCUCGAGGAAGAUAGAGGUGAGCGGAACUCACGGUGGAGCGGUGAAAUGCGUUGAUAUCGUGAGGAACACCCGUGGCGAAAGCGGCUCACUGGGUCUUUUCUGACGCUGAUGCACGAAAGCUAGGGGAGCAAACGGG
This 253-nucleotide ribosomal RNA is filed under the name uncultured bacterium. RNAcentral describes it as "partial 16S ribosomal RNA". It matches the Rfam family "Bacterial small subunit ribosomal RNA", at positions 524 to 776 of the family's 1533-position model. The record is from RNAcentral.